UUAACCGAAUAGGGGAGCCGGAGGGAAACCGAGUCUUAAUUGGGCGUUAAGUUGCAGGGUAUAGACCCGAAACCCGGUGAUCUAGCCAUGGGCAGGUUGAAGGUUGGGUAACACUAACUGGAGGACCGAACCGACUAAUGUUGAAAAAUUAGCGGAUGACCUGUGGCUGGGGGUGAAAGGCCAAUCAAACCGGGAGAUAGCUGGUUCUCCCCGAAAGCUAUUUAGGUAGCGCCUCGUGAAUUCAUCUCCGGGGGUAGAGCACUGUUUCGGCUAGGGGGCCAUCCCGGCUUACCAACCCGAUGCAAACUGCGAAUACCGGAGAAUGUUAUCACGGGAGACACACGGCGGGUGCUAACGUCCGUCGUGAAGAGGGAAACAACCCAGACCGCCAGCUAAGGUCCCAAAGUCAUGGUUAAGUGGGAAACGAUGUGGGAAGGCCCAGACAGCCAGGAUGUUGGCUUAGAAGCAGCCAUCAUUUAAAGAAAGCGUAAUAGCUCACUGGUCGAGUCGGCCUGCGCGGAAGAUGUAACGGGGCUAAACCAUGCACCGAAGCUGCGGCAGCGACACUCAGGUGUUGUUGGGUAGGGGAGCGUUCUGUAAGCCUGCGAAGGUGGCCUGUGAGGGUUGCUGGAGGUAUCAGAAGUGCGAAUGCUGACAUAAGUAACGAUAAAGCGGGUGAAAAGCCCGCUCGCCGGAAGACCAAGGGUUCCUGUCCAACGUUAAUCGGGGCAGGGUGAGUCGACCCCUAAGGCGAGGCCGAAAGGCGUAGUCGAUGGGAAACGGGUUAAUAUUCCCGUACUUGGUGUUACUGCGAAGGGGGGACGGAGAAGGCUAUGUUGGCCGGGCGACGGUUGUCCCGGUUUAAGCGUGUAGGUGUGUGUUCCAGGUAAAUCCGGUUCACUUUAACACUGAGGCGUGACGACGAGGCACUACGGUGCUGAAGCAACAAAUGCCCUGCUUCCAGGAAAAGCCUCUAAGCAUCAGGUAACGUCAAAUCGUACCCCAAACCGACACAGGUGGUCAGGUAGAGAAUACCAAGGCGCUUGAGAGAACUCGGGUGAAGGAACUAGGCAAAAUGGUGCCGUAACUUCGGGAGAAGGCACGCUGACACGUAGGUGAAGUGAUUUACUCACGGAGCUGAAGUCAGUCGAAGAUACCAGCUGGCUGCAACUGUUUAUUAAAAACACAGCACUGUGCAAACACGAAAGUGGACGUAUACGGUGUGACGCCUGCCCGGUGCCGGAAGGUUAAUUGAUGGGGUCAGCGCAAGCGAAGCUCCUGAUCGAAGCCCCGGUAAACGGCGGCCGUAACUAUAACGGUCCUAAGGUAGCGAAAUUCCUUGUCGGGUAAGUUCCGACCUGCACGAAUGGCGUAAUGAUGGCCAGGCUGUCUCCACCCGAGACUCAGUGAAAUUGAACUCGCUGUGAAGAUGCAGUGUACCCGCGGCAAGACGGAAAGACCCCGUGAACCUUUACUAUAGCUUGACACUGAACAUUGAGCCUUGAUGUGUAGGAUAGGUGGGAGGCUUUGAAGUGUGGACGCCAGUCUGCAUGGAGCCGACCUUGAAAUACCACCCUUUAAUGUUUGAUGUUCUAACGUGGACCCGUGAUCCGGGUUGCGGACAGUGUCUGGUGGGUAGUUUGACUGGGGCGGUCUCCUCCUAAAGAGUAACGGAGGAGCACGAAGGUUGGCUAAUCCUGGUCGGACAUCAGGAGGUUAGUGCAAUGGCAUAAGCCAGCUUGACUGCGAGCGUGACGGCGCGAGCAGGUGCGAAAGCAGGUCAUAGUGAUCCGGUGGUUCUGAAUGGAAGGGCCAUCGCUCAACGGAUAAAAGGUACUCCGGGGAUAACAGGCUGAUACCGCCCAAGAGUUCAUAUCGACGGCGGUGUUUGGCACCUCGAUGUCGGCUCAUCACAUCCUGGGGCUGAAGUAGGUCCCAAGGGUAUGGCUGUUCGCCAUUUAAAGUGGUACGCGAGCUGGGUUUAGAACGUCGUGAGACAGUUCGGUCCCUAUCUGCCGUGGGCGCUGGAGAACUGAGGGGGGCUGCUCCUAGUACGAGAGGACCGGAGUGGACGCAUCACUGGUGUUCGGGUUGUCAUGCCAAUGGCACUGCCCGGUAGCUAAAUGCGGAAGAGAUAAGUGCUGAAAGCAUCUAAGCACGAAACUUGCCCCGAG
RNAcentral lists this ribosomal RNA (2174 nucleotides) under Salmonella enterica. RNAcentral describes it as "partial 23S ribosomal RNA". It matches the Rfam family "Bacterial large subunit ribosomal RNA", at positions 646 to 2803 of the family's 2925-position model. The record is from RNAcentral. Lineage: Bacteria; Pseudomonadati; Pseudomonadota; Gammaproteobacteria; Enterobacterales; Enterobacteriaceae.